RNAcentral lists this ribosomal RNA (504 nucleotides) under uncultured bacterium. Its description in RNAcentral is "partial 16S ribosomal RNA". It matches the Rfam family "Bacterial small subunit ribosomal RNA", at positions 28 to 523 of the family's 1533-position model. The record is from RNAcentral.
GAUAAACGCUAGCGGCAGGCUUAACACAUGCAAGUCGAGGGGCAGCAUAGAUUGUAGCAAUACAAUUGGUGGCGACCGGCGCACGGGUGCGUAACGCGUAUGCAACCUACCCGUCACAGGGGGAUAAUCCGGAGAAAUCUGGUCUAAUACCCCAUAACAUAUGGAUCGGCAUCGGUUCAUGUUGAAAUUUUCGGAGGUGACGGAUGGGCACGCGUAGCAUUAGCUUGUUGGUGAGGUAACGGCGCACCAAGGCGACGAUGAUUAGGGGGAGUGAGAGUUUUCCCCCCCACACUGGUACUGAUACACGGACCAGACUCCUACGGGAGGCAGCAGUGAGGAAUAUUGGUCAAUGGGCGCAAGCCUGAACCAGCCAUGCCGCGUGCAGGAUGACGGCUCUAUGAGUUGUAAACUGCUUUUGUACGAGGGUAAAGUGGGUUACGUGUAACCUUUUGAAAGUAUCGUACGAAUAAGGAUCGGCUAACUCCGUGCCAGCCGCCGCCGUAA